This is a non-coding RNA of Ictidomys tridecemlineatus (thirteen-lined ground squirrel), 72 nucleotides long. The record is from Rfam. Lineage: Eukaryota; Metazoa; Chordata; Mammalia; Rodentia; Sciuridae.
UGGGUUGUGGCUCAGUGGUAGAGCGCUCACCUAGCACGUGUGAGUCACUGGGUUUGAUCCUCAGCACCACAU